AAAGUCCCAAACAGAAGAGGGGCAUCUGACAGACCGGGGCAAGUCGUUUGACCGGUUGAGAUUAUUCAAACUUAGGUUGAAUUCAGAUAAGUGCACUAUCAGAGUGCGGUCCGGUAAGAUGUUGGGGUCCUUUGUAAGGGAGGAAUCGAGGUUCAUCCUGCAAAAAAAAAAAAAAAANAAAAAAAAAAAAAAAAAAAAAAAAAAAAAAAAAAAAA
Molecule: long non-coding RNA, 215 nt
Filed under: Lathyrus oleraceus (garden pea)
Lineage: Eukaryota; Viridiplantae; Streptophyta; Magnoliopsida; Fabales; Fabaceae
Description: Pisum sativum (pea) long non-coding RNA (PSAT_LNC024133)
Source: RNAcentral